Molecule: long non-coding RNA, 1044 nt
Filed under: Anser cygnoides (Swan goose)
Lineage: Eukaryota; Metazoa; Chordata; Aves; Anseriformes; Anatidae
Description: lncRNA (ENSACDG00005018403.1)
Source: RNAcentral
GCCGACCAUAUCUCCAGCUGCCGACCCUGCGCCACUGUCUCGGGGACGCCGGGCGGCAUCUGCCCAGCAGCUUGGCCCCGGUGGCGGCGGGGAGGAAGCGGGACGCAGCCGGCUCCUGGCACGGGGACACGCGAGCAUCCCGCGCGUUCGGGACCCCCGUCCGCCAGCACUUCCCCUCCCCACUGCCGCCACCACCCUCCCGAAACCUGGUGGUGGCAACAAGUUUUUCCCCGCCGCCCCGGGGCUUUUGUCUGCAGCUUUCAGCUCCCGUCCGUCAGGCUGAAUGGCUCCAUUCAUCCCGCGCUCACGCGGCCGCGAGCGGUGCAAAGGGCUCUGGCUGUCCCGGUGAAAAAAUCCCCCCAGCUCCGGAGCCCCCGGCCCCAGGGAGCGGGGUUUAACCCGGCCCCGAGCUCCCAGGGGACCAAAAACCCGUGCAAAGGGACAGGGACGCGGGCAGCAGCUGCUCGAAGCCGUGUUGCGGCAGCAAGGUGGCCCAGCCUGCCCCAAAUCCCCCGCUUUUCAGGGCUAGAACCUCCGGAGACGGCGUCCCUGCGUCCUGCGAUGCUGUGGCCGGGCUCGGGGGCUCUGCCCCCCCGGGUGGCACCCAUGGGACUCCGGGUUUGGGAUUCCCAGCGCUCGGGAUUGCAAGCGCUCACGUGCAGCCGGGCUGACAUCACUACAAAAACCACCCCAAAACACGCCGCGAAGCCAGCUAUCGCCAUCACCCCCGCCCCUUCCUCCUCCUCCUCCUCCUCCUCCUCCCCCCUCCCCCCCCCCCCCCCCCCCCGGGGUGCCUCCUGCUUUCCCAAAUCGCGGUGCGGGCAGGGGGCACGGCGCGAGCAUCCUCCUCCGGCCGGGAUGCGCCGGGCGCUGCUCUCGGGCUCCUCUUUCCCCGCUACCGCCCGCGACUUCAAGGAAGAGACGCUAAUGAAAAGCAGCUGCUCGGAAUACCAGAAAGAUGAUGAAUGCGCGUUAAGUCCCCUUAACAAAACCAGGUCUUAUGAGAGUCGCCUGGAGCACUUACUUCAUUGCUUUAAUUUGUGA